GCGCGAUCAGAUUCACAGGGUAAUGCAAUAUUCCACAACUUGAUCUCCCCCGAGAGCGCGUGGACCUGCAGGUACUGCCGGGACUGGUGUUGACAUGCAUGGAAACUGCUAUAGCGUUUUCAUGAAACUUUAUAAAACUCAAGAAUGCAUUGUCAACGGUUGAUACAUACGAUACAUUCCCUUGUUAAAUGAUUACUUGUGUAUUGUUGAUAUAGCUGUGGACUUUUAAAACAUUUUUACACAGAAUAUUCUGCAUUACAUAGUUAUGUUGUCACUGCUAGUUAUUCCCGAUUAUUACCCGGUUAGAUUUGGCACGCAACUAAUGAUUAUUUACCUACACAAAGUUAUUGUAUAAACGUGUAGAUCUUGUGUGUUAUCGCAGCAUGAUCACAACCCAUAUGCCCGCGGAUUUUGGUGCAAUAAAUUUGACUUGAAGGUACAUGUUAA
This is a long non-coding RNA of Priapulus caudatus, 447 nucleotides long. RefSeq lists it as uncharacterized. NCBI's taxonomy places the organism in Eukaryota, Metazoa, Priapulida, Priapulimorpha, Priapulimorphida, Priapulidae. The record is from RefSeq and is a predicted model, not a curated record. The transcript has 2 exons.